RNAcentral lists this ribosomal RNA (253 nucleotides) under uncultured bacterium. RNAcentral describes it as "partial 16S ribosomal RNA". It matches the Rfam family "Bacterial small subunit ribosomal RNA", at positions 524 to 776 of the family's 1533-position model. The record is from RNAcentral.
UACGUAGGGUGCAAGCGUUAAUCGGAAUUACUGGGCGUAAAACGUGCGCAGGCGGCUUUGCAAGACAGAUGUGAAAUCCCCGGGCUCAACCUGGGAACUGCAUUUGUGACUGCAAGGCUAGAGUACGGCAGAGGGGGAUGGAAUUCCGCGUGUAGCAGUGAAAUGCGUAGAUAUGCGGAGGAACACCAAUGGCGAAGGCAAUCCCCUGGGCCUGUACUGACGCUCAUGCACGAAAGCGUGGGGAGCAAACAGG